UGGGGAAUUUUGGACAAUGGGGGAAACCCUGAUCCAGCCAUGCCGCGUGAGUGAAGAAGGCCUUCGGGUUGUAAAGCUCUUUCGGCCGGGACGAAAUCGCUCUGGGUAAUAUCCAAGGUGGAUGACGGUACCGGAAGAAGAAGCACCGGCUAACUACGUGCCAGCAGCCGCGGUAAUACGUAGGGUGCGAGCGUUAAUCGGAAUUACUGGGCGUAAAGCGUGCGCAGGCGGUUUCGUAAGCCAGACGUGAAAUCCCCGGGCUUAACCUGGGAACUGCGUUUGGGACUGCGAGGCUCGAGUACGGCAGAGGGAGGUGGAAUUCCACGUGUAGCAGUGAAAUGCGUAGAUAUGUGGAGGAACACCGAUGGCGAAGGCAGCCUCCUGGGCUAGUACUGACGCUCAUGCACGAAAGCGUGGGGAGCAAACAGG
RNAcentral lists this ribosomal RNA (429 nucleotides) under uncultured bacterium. RNAcentral's name for it is "bacterial SSU rRNA". It matches the Rfam family "Bacterial small subunit ribosomal RNA", at positions 355 to 776 of the family's 1533-position model. The record is from RNAcentral.